RNAcentral lists this ribosomal RNA (255 nucleotides) under uncultured bacterium. Its description in RNAcentral is "partial 16S ribosomal RNA". It matches the Rfam family "Bacterial small subunit ribosomal RNA", at positions 524 to 776 of the family's 1533-position model. The record is from RNAcentral.
UACGUAGGGGGCUAGCGUUGUCCGGAUUUAUUGGGCGUAAAGAGCGUGUAGGCGGCCAGGUAGGUCUGCUGUGAAAACUCGAGGCUCAACCUCGAGAUGUCGGCGGAAACCAUCUGGCUAGAGUCCGGAAGAGGGAGAGUGGUAAUUCGUGGUGUAGCGGUGAAAUGCGCAGAUAUCAGGAAGAACACCCGUGGCGAAGGCGGCUCUCUGGGACGGUACUGACGCUGAGGAGCGAAAGCGUGGGGAGCGAACAGG